Non-coding RNA from Leptonychotes weddellii (Weddell seal), 644 nucleotides. Lineage: Eukaryota; Metazoa; Chordata; Mammalia; Carnivora; Phocidae. The record is from RefSeq and is a predicted model, not a curated record.
CCAUAGAGGCUCCAGGGCUGGCGGCUGCUGCAGACGAGUGCCAUACGAGCCUCUGUCACUUACGAGUGACAGCGACUAUUACUUCUGGGCCCCGGGGGGUCCUGCAUACAUCAUUUGACUCAAUAUUCACGGCGCCGAGGAGGCAGAUGUCAGAGGCAGCUGCCGCGGAGACGGUGGAAACAGCGCCCCCUGCCGCUCCUGCUCCUUCCUGCCUCCCGCUCUGCAGACCGGGUCGCCCCCACGAGCUUCCCCUCUGGCCUUGGAACCCCUUCCGGGGAUCUGAGUCUCUCCCGGAGCCCUGCCCACCUGUGGGUGCGCGUUCCUUGAAGGGGGGCGCUUUGGCGAGGGGCGGAGGCUCUGCUGCCAUCAGGACCUACGCGGGACCAGAGGCACCUUGUCCUCAGUCCGGGCUUCUGGGCUGGCGCCCCGGGGCACCCCGCCGGGCCCUCUCUGCUACACUCUGGCCGCCCUCCCGCCCCAACAUCUCCCGCGAGUGCUGGGAGGUUAUUUUGUCUGCAUAAAUUUAUCAUUCAGUCAUGUAUAUUUACUCCCCCUUACCCCCACAUCCCAUGUUUAAGGCUCUUUACAAACAAGAACAGAUAAAAAGGAGAAACAGAGCAAAGCAAAAAAAAAAAAAAAAAAAA